UGGGGAAUUUUGCACAAUGGGCGCAAGCCUGAUGCAGCCAUGCCGCGUGUGUGAAGAAGGCCUUCGGGUUGUAAAGCACUUUCAGCGGGGAGGAAGGCGAUAAGGUUAAUAACCUUGUCGAUUGACGUUACCCGCAGAAGAAGCACCGGCUAACUCCGUGCCAGCAGCCGCGGUAAUACGGAGGGUGCAAGCGUUAAUCGGAAUUACUGGGCGUAAAGCGCACGCAGGCGGUCUGUCAAGUCGGAUGUGAAAUCCCCGGGCUUAACCUGGGAACUGCAUUCGAAACUGGCAGGCUAGAGUCUUGUAGAGGGGGGUAGAAUUCCAGGUGUAGCGGUGAAAUGCGUAGAGAUCUGGAGGAAUACCGGUGGCGAAGGCGGCCCCCUGGACAAAGACUGACGCUCAGGUGCGAAAGCGUGGGGAGCAAACAGG
This 429-nucleotide ribosomal RNA is filed under the name Chloroflexota bacterium. RNAcentral's name for it is "Chloroflexi bacterium partial 16S ribosomal RNA". It matches the Rfam family "Bacterial small subunit ribosomal RNA", at positions 355 to 776 of the family's 1533-position model. The record is from RNAcentral. Lineage: Bacteria; Bacillati; Chloroflexota.